RNAcentral lists this ribosomal RNA (253 nucleotides) under uncultured bacterium. RNAcentral describes it as "partial 16S ribosomal RNA". It matches the Rfam family "Bacterial small subunit ribosomal RNA", at positions 524 to 776 of the family's 1533-position model. The record is from RNAcentral.
UACGAAGGGGGCUAGCGUUGCUCGGAAUCACUGGGCGUAAAGGGUGCGUAGGCGGCGCGGUAAGUCGGGUGUGAAAUCUCGGGGCUUAACUCCGAAACUGCAUUCGAUACUGCCGUGCUUGAGGACUGGAGAGGAGACUGGAAUUUACGGUGUAGCGGUGAAAUGCGUAGAUAUCGUAAGGAAGACCAGUGGCGAAGGCGGGUCUCUGGACAGUUCCUGACGCUGAGGCACGAAGGCCAGGGGAGCAAACGGG